UCCGAUAUCCAGGCCAAAUCUGGAGCGGGUAUAGUAUAACAGCUCCGAAUCUGAAUUUAUUAAUUCCAAUGUGGAUCCGGGGCCUAGACGGUGGCGGUGACGGUGGCGGUGGAUUAAACGAUUAAAUCAAAAGAAGGCUCUCGGCCAGCGCAAAAUUAGGGCGUCAUCAAAUCUUAGAAUCAGCAAUCGUCUCCCUCUUCUGCUGUCCAAUUCCAGCAAAGGCUUUGCAAGAGAUAUUUUCAGAUCUAGCCGUCGCCCUUUUUUCUUCUGUUCUAACUCGAGCGCUUUUGCUAGAGAUAUUUUCAUAUCUAACAUCCUCUUACUGCUUACAUAGCUCCUAAUAAGCUUCUGUUUUAGAAGAUCACAGAGCAAACGAUUAAGCAUGUCGCGAACAACAGAGAAAGGGAGAAUUGGGAGACUGUCCUUCAGCUGUAUUUUUGGAAAGCAUGAAAGGAAAACAACAGGAAACCUCGUGGUGUGCUUAACGCAAGUGGAUGGUUAUGCGGAUCCAAUGGUUUAUUCUUUCAAGUCUUUUCCAAUUCGGAAAUUGAUUCACCAUUCUUCAAGCAGGCUUAAACCGAAAGAGGAGUUUGUCUGGCAUGAGAUAAAGGAUGCAUUUGAUGCAUGCACUCCACAUUACUUUGCUAUGAGUUUGAUUCAUACUGGAGGUUUGGUUUAUGUUGUUGGUGGUGUGAAGGCCGAUGAGGAAGAGAGGCACUUGUAUGAGCCAGGCAGGUUGCCCCGAGAGUUCAGUUGCAUCUCUCUCUCAACUCCUCUAGGAAACUCUCGAGCAGAGAUUAAGUGCCCAAUGCAUGGGGCAAAGUAUUUCCCGCUUAUAGAGGAAAUUGAUGGUUGCAUCUAUGUUCUAUCUGGCCCCCUGCCCAGCUAUGGAUCUCCUGAUAUAAUUGACAUCGGCUUUGAGGUUUAUUAUCCUUCAGAGGAUAGGUGGGCUGAUCUGCCGAUUCCUCCUUUUCUCAAAAAAGGUAGUUACUCCAUUAUGUUUAGGGGCUUCUUUUCAUAUGUAGUGAUUGGUUCAAGGUUGUGUGUUUCGACUGGGGAAUACGCGUGUGCUUUUGACACUGUGCAGUGGGAGUGGGAGGCUUGUGAGUUAUUUUCUGAUUUCCCGAUUCAACCUGCCGAACAUUUUGUGCGACACCUAGAUGGUUGCGGUCCUCCAUUUCCUUUUGAGAAAAAAGCCAUCCUAUAUAAAGACAAUAUCUUCUUGUGCAUUAUGCCUGCCGUCCAUCUUCCUGUCUGUCUCUUUCAAAUUUGCGAUGGGAAAGCGGUAAAAAUGCCACUUUUAUUGGAUGGCAUACCAAAUGGAGGUGCUGUUGAUCUUGUUGAUUUAGGAAAUGAUUACUUUGCUGUAAUGCUUUUUGAAUACGAAACAGAGGGACAGGCCGAAGAUCUGACAAUUGUCACUUUCAAGCUGCUUUCAGAAAGAGGGGGAGAUGGAGCUCUGAGUUGUGCAUUGAAAAAAACAGAACAAAAAAAAAAAAGUUUGUUUUCGUGGAUGAUGUCCACUGGGAUUUCUUGCAGUUAUGUUCCAAUGUUUGGAGAAACUGACUAUGAUCCUGGCCGUUAUAUUUCACAUAUAAGUUUUGAUGAACAACUUGAUGCUUUAGGCAGAGCUGUUGAUGCUGGUAAGAUCAGAUACAUCGGACUAAGCAAUGAGACUCCGUAUGGAGUCAUGAAGUUUCUGGAAAUUGCCCAAAAGCAACCUCACUAUCCAAGGAUAGUAUCUUUGCAGAACUUGUGCAACUUGCUCUGGCGGGGCUUUUUUUUCAAGAAUGCGUACAACUUGCUUUGCCGGAACUUUGAUUUUGGGAUGGCUGAAUGCUGUCACCAUGAGAGGUACCCCUUAGUACUGAAUGUGUGUAUGAUCUGCACAACUGAGUUAAGCCUCACUUAUACUGGGAAUACUCCUUCCAUCCACUAGGAAGCUCCAAAAAUUAUUGAGAAAGUGAUUGCUCACUAAUAUCCUAUGAAUCAUAUCUUGAAAUUGCUGAAGAAUACGACGUCCACCCGGUGUCUCUUGCAAUUGCCUUUGUUCUUCGACACCCUCUUGUUGCAAGUGCCAUUUUUGGAGCUACAACAGUGUGACAAAUCCAAGAGGUUCUCAAUGCCUGCAGUGUCAAUCUGAGUGAUGACAUUAUUGGAGAUGUUAACAAGGUGCAUUCAAGGUUCCCAAAUCCCUGCCCCUGAUAAGUGCCUUUUGUUUUGUAGUAUAACCAUUGGAAGGUUAAAGAUAUUGGUGUCUCUUUGUACAUUAUGGAGGAACUGAUCUGGCUUAGAGAUUGUUAGCAUGGUAAUUUGAAUCUUGAAAAUCUGGCUGGGAUUUUCUGUCACCGAUCAAUGUAUUUUUUUCAAGUUUUGGAAUUUUAUGGAACUUGGCGAGGAGCUAAUUACAUGGACUUUGUUGGGGGAAACUUUUGGCUCCUUACAAGGCCUGUGAUGUGCUGCGGAAGAGUCAAAAAUGAUUCAAGGGUCUUUUAGGGACCAAAGGGAUGUCUGGAACUCAAGAUCAGUGCAAUAUGUGGCUUCUAGAUGAUGUUGCGGGCGUACAAGUCCCCACUGUACACAUAUAUUACUCUAUGAUUUGUGAAGAUUUUAUUUAUUGCAUAUAUAUAUUUAUUUAUUAGCGGACAGUAUCUCCCUUAAAUUGGCUGCCGCCUGCUGGAAA
Molecule: RNA transcript, 2683 nt
Organism: Coffea arabica (coffee)
Lineage: Eukaryota; Viridiplantae; Streptophyta; Magnoliopsida; Gentianales; Rubiaceae
Source: RefSeq, a predicted model, not a curated record